UUUCGGGGUGCACCAGGCGCGAAAACUUUACAAUGCGGGAAACCGUGAUAAGGGAACUCCGAGUGCCCGUAAAAUCGGGCUGUCCAUCUGUUUAAAUAACAGGUGAAGAAAGGGCCGGGCAAGACCGGUGCCAGCCGCCGCGGUAAUACCGGCGGCUCGAGUGGUGGCCACUAUUACUGGGCUUAAAGCGUUCGUAGCUGGUCUGUUAAGUCUCUGGGGAAAUCUACUGGCUUAACCAAUAGGCGUUUCAGGGAUACUGGCAGACUAGGGACCGGGAGAGGUGAGGGGUACUCCAGGGGUAGGAGUGAAAUCCUGUAAUCCUUGGGGGACCACCUGUGGCGAAGGCGCCUCACCAGAACGGCUCCGACAGUGAGGGACGAAAGCUGGGGGAGCAAACCGGAUUAGAUACCCGGGUAGUCCCAGCCGUAAACGAUGCGCGUUAGGUGUAUCGGUGACCACGAGUCACCGAGGUGCCGAAGAGAAAUCGUGAAACGUGCCGCCUGGGAAGUACGGUCGCAAGGCGGAAACUUAAAGGAAUUGGCGGGGGAGCA
Molecule: ribosomal RNA, 551 nt
Filed under: uncultured archaeon
Lineage: Archaea
Description: bacterial SSU rRNA
Rfam family: Archaeal small subunit ribosomal RNA
Source: RNAcentral